CAAAUUUUGAAGUUAUUUGUGACAAGAAAUUUUUUUAAACGGCUGCAAUUAAUAAUUGUGCUAAGGUAGCGUAAUCAUUUGCCCCCUAAUUAGGGGAAGGUAUGAAUGGUCUGACGUGGGAAAAACUGUCUCUUCUGCAUAUGAAGAAGUUUAUUUUUGAGUGAAAAAGCUUAGAUGGUUUUAAAAGACGAGAAGACCCUAUCGAACUUGAAUUAGGUAUUUAAAUUUUUUAAGUAUUGAAAGUUUAGUUGGGGAAACUUAAAGUAAAAAAAAACGCUUUAUUUUUUUGUAAAGAUCCUGUAUUAUGGAAAAACGAAAAAGUUACCGUAGGGAUAACAGCGCUUUCUUCUCUGAGAGGACUAAUUAAAGAGUUGGUUGCGACCUCGAUGUUGGAUUAAAAUUUCUUUUUGGGGUAGG
RNAcentral lists this ribosomal RNA (417 nucleotides) under Odhneripisidium parvum. RNAcentral describes it as "partial 16S rRNA". It matches the Rfam family "Bacterial large subunit ribosomal RNA", at positions 1887 to 2559 of the family's 2925-position model. The record is from RNAcentral. Lineage: Eukaryota; Metazoa; Mollusca; Bivalvia; Venerida; Sphaeriidae.